UCCCAAGGGUUGGGCUGUUCGCCCAUUAAAGCGGUACGCGAGCUGGGUUUAGAACGUCGUGAGACAGUUCGGUCCCUAUCCGCCGUGCGCGUAGGAUACUUGAGAAGGGCUGUCCCUAGUACGAGAGGACCGGGACGGACGAACCUCUGGUGUGCCAGUUGUCCCGCCAGGGGCACGGCUGGUUAGCUACGUUCGGAAGGGAUAACCGCUGAAAGCAUCUAAGCGGGAAGCUCGCUUCAAGAUGAGGUAUCCCACCCACUUUGUGGGGUAAGGCCCCCAGCUAGACGACUGGGUUGAUAGGCCGGAAAUGUAAGCCCGGUAACGGGUUCAGUUGACCRGUACUAAUAGGCCGAGGACUUGACUACCA
RNAcentral lists this ribosomal RNA (367 nucleotides) under Micromonospora sp. II. Its description in RNAcentral is "bacterial LSU rRNA". It matches the Rfam family "Bacterial large subunit ribosomal RNA", at positions 2563 to 2925 of the family's 2925-position model. The record is from RNAcentral. Lineage: Bacteria; Bacillati; Actinomycetota; Actinomycetes; Micromonosporales; Micromonosporaceae.